CAGUAGCCGCGGUAAUACGAAGGGGGCUAGCGUUGCUCGGAAUGACUGGGCGUAAAGGGCGCGUAGGCGGAUUGUUUAGUUAGGCGUGAAAUUCCUGGGCUUAACCUGGGGACUGCGCUUAAUACAGGCAGUCUAGAGUGAGGAAGAGGGUUGUGGAAUCCCCAGUGUAGAGGUGAAAUUCGUAGAUAUUGGGAAGAACACCGGUGGCGAAGGCAGCAACCUGGUCCUUGACUGACGCUGAGGCGCGAAAGCGUGGGGAGCAAACAGGAUUAGAUACCCGAGUAGUCCCUGUCUCUUAUAC
RNAcentral lists this ribosomal RNA (301 nucleotides) under uncultured bacterium. Its description in RNAcentral is "partial 16S ribosomal RNA". It matches the Rfam family "Bacterial small subunit ribosomal RNA", at positions 509 to 807 of the family's 1533-position model. The record is from RNAcentral.